GGUGGUAUAACUCAGUGUUAAAGUAAGUCCUUAACAUGCACAAAGUCCUGGGUUCAAUCCUCUGUACCUCCA
This 72-nucleotide transfer RNA is filed under the name Loxodonta africana (African savanna elephant). It matches the Rfam family "tRNA". From Rfam's summary of the family: Transfer RNA (tRNA) molecules are approximately 80 nucleotides in length. Their secondary structure includes four short double-helical elements and three loops (D, anti-codon, and T loops). Further hydrogen bonds mediate the characteristic L-shaped molecular structure. tRNAs have two regions of fundamental functional importance: the anti-codon, which is responsible for specific mRNA codon recognition, and the 3' end, to which the tRNAs corresponding amino acid is attached (by aminoacyl-tRNA synthetases). tRNAs cope with the degeneracy of the genetic code in two manners: having more than one tRNA (with a specific anti-codon) for a particular amino acid; and 'wobble' base-pairing, i.e. permitting non-standard base-pairing at the 3rd anti-codon position. Lineage: Eukaryota; Metazoa; Chordata; Mammalia; Proboscidea; Elephantidae. The record is from Rfam by way of RNAcentral.